Molecule: non-coding RNA, 2044 nt
Organism: Urocitellus parryii (Arctic ground squirrel)
Lineage: Eukaryota; Metazoa; Chordata; Mammalia; Rodentia; Sciuridae
Source: RefSeq, a predicted model, not a curated record
GGAAUAUUCACGAUCAUCGGUUAAGUACCUAAGAAGAUCAACCACAGAUUACUUUGAACAUUCUCAAAGAUCUCGUGAUAAAAUGGCACACAUUGAAGAGGUUGCAUGAGCAUCUUGUGAAAUGAAAACUGUGAAUCAAAGAGGAGAAUAAAUAAUGAACCCUACUUUGCCAGCACAUAGAUCUUGGACUUACCAACCUUCAAAACUGAGAACAAUUUUCUGUUGUUUAAACCAUCCCGUCUUAUGGUAUUUUGCUUCAACACCCCAAGCAGACGGAUACACUACGUGGACCUUUCCCUUCAGUGGCUGCGGUGCUCAUGAUAAUCAUGACAACUCUCGUAAGAGAUUGGCCAUUUAGUGAUGACUUGCUAUGUGCCCGGCGUUGCUAGUAACUUCUCGUUUUUACUGGUUUCUUCUUUUAUGCAUUUCGGAGCAUGUGAGAAUCAUUUGGGUAAAAGUUGAUGCUCCAACUCUCUUGGGAUCCUGCGUCUCACCAUGGUGUCUUUGGAACAAGGCGUCCCAGUAGGAAGUUGUGUCCUGAGUCUCCCUGUCCAUGGGAGCWGUGGGGCAGGAUGAAGGACGUCCCACCGGCUGACCUUGCAUGCUGUGACUCUCUUGUGUCUUAAACCAUUUUCCUCAACUGAGUCUGGAGAACCCUAGAAGAUUCUGUCUUCAGUAGCUGAUGUCUUACCCACUAAGCACCUUGGCCCACCUGAAUGGGGAGGUGAGGUACAAUAGGGACAGGAUUCUGCCACACAGGCCUUGGGACAGGUGCCCAGACAGGAAACAGGGCUUCCGGGAUAGGAUCAGAGAUGAGGAAAUGAGAGAAAGGGGCCAUUCCAAACCACUUCUUUCAGCAGGAUUUGGAUCUGGAUUUGGAGAGCACCUCAUGGCACUUUCCAUGUGACAGGCUCAUGCACAGWCCUGAGUUCUCCUGCUGGGGUCCCUCACUUCCUCUCUCUUGAUCUUCUCCUGUCACAGUUCAUAUCCGUGAUUGGCCACACGGUGUAGACUGCGUAUGUUGCCACUGGCCCGYGGGCAGAGGAAGGAGCUACAGCUUCCAUUUUGGCCCUGGGAAUUUCUUACCCUUAAAAGGUGCCAACUUGGCUUCGCCUGUUGCCAAGACAAAAGGUCAGGUCAGAGAAGCAGCACACGCUGACAUUCUAAGUGCAAGGUCUCUUUUUUCAGUCCAGACAAGAAAGCAGGGUACACAUGGUCCUCACUGCGUGGAGUGGACUCUCCACCCCAGGACCACAGAUGGGCACAUUUGGCAUGUCCUUGUAGCUGGCCUUUUAUGAGGAUCACACUUUCCUGGCACCAUGCUGUCGAAGCCACAUCUCUACACAGAAUGUAAACCCACGGCCCAUGGGGAUUCAGGUGGUUCCCCUGGGAGAAACAGCAGUGCCAGGAAUUUCCCAGGUGUGGACUGAGCUUCAAAGCAGAUGCAAUUUGCAGGAGGGAGCCCUUCAUCUUCAAGCAAAAGAGCUGCUAAUUUCCCCUUUCUUUUCUGAACAUAGUCUGAGUGACAGCAUGAUUAUCUGGAAGAAACCAGGGUGGGCAGGUCAAUGUUACCUCAUUGAAGAUGCUAGGUUUGAUAGUUGGCUUCCCAACCUGGCAUGGUCCUGACACUCCACUGGUUUCCGCUCCUGGGUCUAAGACUGAUAAUCUGUCUGCUGGAUUUCAUGAGCAAUUGCAUGGGGAUUUUUUUUCUUAUCUUGAUUUGCACUUCCAUGAACUUCAAAUAGGAUCUAGAAAGGAAGGAAAAGAAAUGACAAAAAAUUAAUUCUUAGGGAGGCCAGAAAAUUGUCAGCGGUAACCUUAGGAACCAAAGAGAUAUCUUUCCUCCAUCUGUGCCACUCACCAUCAUUUUUCCUGGUCAGUCUAUACCCCUGACUUCCUGCCCUGCCCCUCCCCCCUCCUUCCCUCUCAGACCGUGACUUCCUGCUAUUGCUCCACAUCCCUGUUUGUGGCCUUCACCCCCCAUCACCCAGGAAGGAGUCCUUGCAUUAAGGGCUCUUUGUUUGAACCAUCUGGGGUGAAUYCU